GCCCGGCUAGCUCAGUCGGUAGAGCAUGAGACUCAGGGUCUCUCAGGGUCGUGGGUUCGAGCCCCACGUUGGGCG
Non-coding RNA from Ctenopharyngodon idella (grass carp), 75 nucleotides. Lineage: Eukaryota; Metazoa; Chordata; Actinopteri; Cypriniformes; Xenocyprididae. The record is from the annotation of a RefSeq genome assembly.